Molecule: long non-coding RNA, 4548 nt
Filed under: Amphibalanus amphitrite
Lineage: Eukaryota; Metazoa; Arthropoda; Thecostraca; Balanomorpha; Balanidae
Description: uncharacterized LOC122365222
Source: RNAcentral
AUUUGACGAGCGACACCUACGGGGUCGUGCGGCAAAAACUUUCUCUGUCCGCGGGCGCCACUGCAGCGACACCUGCCGUGUGGCUCCAACACUAUUGGCUCAGUCUGUGCGCCCACGCCGUGCCGCGAGCACCGAUCCUACACAUUGUUCAGCGUUCUUGUCUUUCCGAUUGUAGUUGGACCACAUCUGGCAUGCUCGUCGUAGGGGACAGCUAUGCUGUCCACCUCCCCCGCCGCUGUUCGCCCCACCUUGCCGUGGCGGCGGCCGGUGUUCGCGGAGGCUGCGUCAAUGACGACGGCUUCAGGCGCUGGGCCAUCCGGGCCGCAGUUCGUGCCCGUCCUCGCGUGGUCACGCUCGUGGCGGGCGGAAAUGACCUCGCCAGAAGGGACUGCCGCGUUCAGCGGUGGCUCGCCAACCUCCAGGAACUGACGCUCGGGCUCCUGGCAGCCGGAGUCGUUCGCGUCUAUGUGCUGCCCAUCCCUCCGCGCACAGGCUUUCCAUCCAGCGGCGUGUCGGCGCGAAUUUUCCGGCGGCGGCGCUGGGUGGCCAACAAACUGUUGCGCCGCCUUUUCCGCCAACCGCCGGUGCUCCUGCUCCACUUUGUGCCGCCACCUGACUUUCUGGCGUCGGAUGGGGUUCAUCCGUCCGCGGCCGGGUGGCGCACCCUGGAGAGCGUGCUACAGGAGGCUAUGGACGCCUCCUCCGGGAUUUAGCGUGUACCGGGUCGCUCCCGUGCUGUGUCGUGUGUGUCCCCCCCCCCCCCCCUCCUAACCGGCUGGCCGUUUAAAUACACAUUCCCGCUAACAUCGUCGUCUAUUUUCAUGCAUUCGGAGCUGCUAUGUCACGGGCCAAGUCGUCGGCGGGCCGUGCCCCGGCACGCCCCCUGCCAGCGCCACGGACGGACGCGCCGCGACGCGCCACUACGAGACGCUCCGCGGCGGCCGCGGCCGCGUCUGGCGCUGGUGCCACGAGCCGCCGCCCGCCCGCUGCUGCGGCGAGGCGACAGGCCGCAGUGAUGGCCACCACUCCGCCCAAUCCAGGGCGGGGCCAUGCUGCUACAACGUCGGCCGCCGCCGCCUCGCCCCCUGACGCCGCGGUCAUCGACCCCGCCGCUCUUCAAACAAUGGUGGGCGACAUGGUCCGGGCCGCCGUCGCCGCCGCUCUACCUGCCAGCGAGCCAUCACCGCCGGCGACGGUCGCCGUGCAGCGCGGUCCGGCACAGCGUCUCCAGGAUGGGCCAGCUGCCCAUCUGACGUCCGCCGACCACGCCUACACGCCGGCUGCCGAACUGCAAGCCGGGCCAAUGGCGCUCCCGGCGGUUCUCUCCGGCGCCCCUCCGACCGCCGCCGGCCCUGCUCCACCUGCGCACCUGCCAGCGGCGCAGUUGCCCGUCGCCGGCCGUCCGCCGGCGCCGGUGGAAAAUUGCCGCAGGUGACGACCUAGCGGCCCGCGCUGCCGUAUCCCCCGCGGUGGCGGCCCUCAUCGUGUCCCAUCAAUUCAUUGACCUAAACACUCUCCUCAACGACUCUAUCCCCCCGGCAGAACCAGGGCUGUUUUGCCUUAUCGACGGCCGUCUCCGUCCCUCGGUACAGCGCCGCCCAAUCCCGCAUUUCGGCGCCUGGGCCACCGCGUUUCUUCGAUACGCGGCCGUGUACUUGGCUGCCCACCCCGCUGACGCCUCCGGUCUGUUGCGCCACAUGCAACAAGUGUCCUCGCUGCAGGCGCCCGGCCUUGGAUUCGCGUGGCGCGAUUUCGAUGAGGCCUUUCGGCGCGCACGGGGCCUCUGCCCGGAAGCUCACCCAUGGGGCUCCACGGCGGCCACGUCUCCCAUUUGGCUCACCGCAAUCGCUCGCGGAAUCGCCGGUUCUCGGGCCGGGUCUGCAGCCGGUGUAAGCGGCGAGGGUCGGGGCGGCUCUAGCCGGCCGGCCGCCGCGUCUGGCUCUUUUCGCGCGCUCUGCCUCGGCUACAAUCGCGCCGCCGGGUGCCGCCGGUCCCCGUGCCUGUUCCGGCACGAGUGCCGCCUCUGCCGUGGCCCCCAUAGCGUGCUCGCCUGCCCUCGCCGCGCCGCCCCAGCCCUCCCCGGCACCCGCCGCCCCGGCCGCGAAUGACUCCCUCAGCUGCGGCUGCCAGCUGACAAGCUGGCACGUGCCAGGGCAGGCCUCACGAGCCUGCUGGCCCGCCGGACAGCGCCCCUCCGCAUGGUCCGUGAAUGCACGGGGCUCCUCAGCUUUGCGUGCACCGCAGUGCCACUCGGUCGCCCGUUCCUACGGCGCAUGUUCGACUUGUGUCGCGGCGUGUCGCGCCCUCACCACCGCGUCACGAUCACCCGGGCGGCCAGACAGGAUAUGCGCGCCUGGCUGCUGUUUCUAGACCGUUUCCCAGGCCGCGCGAUUCUCGCUCACCGGCGCUGGUUGUUGGAGCCGGGUCUUAUCCUGGAGACGGACGCCUCCAGCUCGGUCGGGCUCGGUGCCAUCUGCGGCGAGGACUGGCUCCUGGGGCCGUGGCCCGCGUCCCUCCGCGAGGCCCCUAUCAGCGUUUUGGAACUAGUGGCUGUCGCUGUAGCCGUGCACGUGUGGCGAGAUCGGUUCGCGCAUCGCUGCGUCCUUGUGCGCUCAGAUAACUCCGCUGUGGUGGCCUGUAUAACCUCUCAGUCAUCUCGCUCGCCUGCCCUAAUGCCAUGGCUCCGAUUCCUUUUUCUCACCACCGUCUCUCAUAACAUUCUCGUGCGUGCCGUGCACAUACCCGGCAUCGCCAAUGCAGCAGCUGACGCCCUGUCCCGCGGUCUUGUGCAGGUCUUCAAGGAGCUCCGCCCGUCCGCAGCAGCCACGCCGACGUCCUGGGACUGGCCGGCCUGCGGCACGCUCUCACCGUUCACCAGCUAGCUGGUGCCGCGCUAGCUCCUGCCACCAUUCGCUCUUAUCGAGCAGUGUGGGGCCAAAUCCGCGUUUUCCUCACUCUGCCGCCCACUGCUGCCCUGUUUCCCAUCUCAGUGGCCGACACUGCUGAUUUCCUGGCCUCUCGACACGAGCAGGGCUGUUCCGCUUCCACCCUCGCCGCCGAGGCGUCUGCCAUCUCCUACGGCCACAAGCUAGCCGGCGCGCCGGAUCCCACGGCGGACUUCCGGGUGCGACAGCUGUUAGCGGGAUCCCGCCGGCUACGGCCGAGUGCGGACAACCGCCUCGCCGUCUCCCUGACCGAGCUCGGCGAGCUCUGCGCCGCACUCCAUUUCCUAGGCCUCUCCCCGGUAGACCGUGCUGCAUUCCGUGCCAUCUUUACAUUGGCUUUCUUUGCUAUGCUUCGCCCGGGCGAGGUCGUGCGCGGCCGAGACCUGACCCACACAGUCCGACUCAGCCACGUGAGUCUCGUCGGCCCCCAGCUUUCUCUCACCAUUCCAUCCUCAAAAACGUCGGCCUCCCCGUUCACCACCACGCUUCGAGCCCGGCCUGAUCUUGCCACGUGUCCGGUCGCCGCUGUCCGCGACUACCUCGCGGUCCGCGGCACGGGCCUUCCUGAUGACGCACUGUUUAUCGGCGGCCAUCGCCGCCCUCUGACAUCGCGCGAUCUCACUCGCGUACUUCGCAUGGCGGGCCGUCGAGCUGGUCUCAACCCAGCCCGCCUCUCCGGGCACUGCCUUCGCAUCAGCGGCGCCUCCCACGGCGCCGCAGUCGGACUAACGGAGCCCCAACUCUGCCACGCCGGCCGCUGGUCGUCCCAGGCCGUGCGGCGAUACGUACGGCGGCCGGUCUCCCUCCUUCAGGCAUCCUAAGCGGCGGGUCCCGUCCAAAGAGGGUUAACGUUGCCGGCCUUCCACCGCUACCGCUCCCAAACCCGAGCCACAGCUGCCCGUUCUAGGUCUGGGUGCACGGGCCGCGCCCUAGCAGGCGUAGCGGCAGUCCCGACGCUGCCUGUUCAGGCCCGGGCUCCCAAACCGCCGCCCUCGCAGGCGGAGCGGCGGCGUCCUUGGCCACCUGCCUGUUUUCGGUCCGGGAUCCCGGACCGCCGCCUUCACGGGCGAGCGGCAGUCUUGUCAGCUGCCUGUUUUAGGUCCGGGCCCCCGGACCCCCGCCUCACGGGCGGAGCGGUAGUCUGUCAGCUGCCUGUUUCAGGUCCGGGCUCUGGGACCGCCGCCCUCGCCGGCGGAGCGGCAGUCCCAACUCCCCGGCUGCGCGCCACAGUGAUGUAUCUGUAUAUAUGUAACGUCGGGCUCGCGUGUUCAUUGUUGGUUUAGCUCGCCCGCACAGCUAUAACCCAGAUGAAACUGCAGUUUCUACGCCACAGCCGCACCGCCGACGGUGCCAUGUUUGUGCGUCGCGUGAGGUGAAUUACGCCGUGCGCGGCAUGUCAUGUCCUCUGCCGUCGCGUUAUCGCCACGUCUGUUAAUCCAGAGGCAUCCAUCGUUUUCCAUUAGCUUUCUGCCGCCCUGGCAAUUUUGUUCAUAGCGAAUGCCUCUCCGUUCCGCGCGGGUGCAGAUGGGGUGUUGGGCGUAAUCUGCACCCAAAGUGCAUGACGGGUGUACAAACGUACGAAUACACAGACCCAUAUUCAUCA